This is an RNA transcript of Cryptomeria japonica (Japanese cedar), 2120 nucleotides long. RefSeq lists it as uncharacterized. The transcript is spliced from 13 exons. The record is from RefSeq and is a predicted model, not a curated record. Lineage: Eukaryota; Viridiplantae; Streptophyta; Pinopsida; Cupressales; Cupressaceae.
ACUAUAUCUUGGUGAAUCUGUUCUCCUUUUGUAUGCAAUAGAUAUAGCCGCCUAGUUAAAGUUUAUCUACUUUCCAAUAUUGCCAGACGAUAGUUUUCCAUUUGUUCGAGUAUCUCAAAUUCAUGGUGCCCAUGCUCAUGUGAGUUCAUACUUAUUUGGCUGUGGAUUAUCUUCAAUAAAAACGGACCACACCAAUCAAAGCCAUUGGAGAAAAUAACUGCUAAAAAUGAAAGGGAUUGUGGGCUGUCGGGUUCAUUUUCAACUCCCCACAACAAUUUUGCCAAUGUUGGUGCCUCCCACGAGCUCCUGUGCAUAUUUCAAACCAACCCAAAAGCCACUGAGCUUUACACAGACACAUUGGAGCAAUUUUUUUGCCAAACCAUUUGACCUUAAUAAUAAUAGUAAUAACAAACCAGCUUCAUUCUCAGCAACCAUAAUAGUUCCCAGAAAGCAAUGGAGCAGAAAAUAUUCAUCGUCAUCCUCCAGAGUGAGUAUGAGCCUAAGAACUGGAAUUGUUGGCCUGCCCAAUGUGGGGAAAUCUACUCUUUUCAAUGCUUUGGUUGAAAAUGGAAAAGCUCAAGCAGCCAAUUUUCCGUUCUGCACAAUAGAACCCAAUGUGGGAGUUGUUGGUGUGCCAGAUCCACGCUUAGAUGUGCUUUCUCAACUCAGUAAAUCACAACGUACGGUACCAGCUUCAAUGGAGUUUGUAGACAUUGCAGGACUUGUAAAGGGAGCCAGCCAAGGAGAGGGUUUGGGGAAUAAAUUCCUUUCACAUAUUCGUGAAGUUGACUCCAUAGUACAGGUUGUGCGUUGUUUUGAAGAUAAUGACAUUGUUCACGUGAAUGGAAAAAUUGAUCCAAAAUCGGACAUAGAAAUAAUCAAUCUAGAACUGGCCUUUUCCGAUCUUGAACAGAUUGAGAGGAGAAUGGACAGGCUGAAGAAAAGUAAGGCAAAAGAUUCCCAAACAAAGGUUAAGGAGGCAGCUGAGCUGGCUGCAUUACAACAGAUCCAUGGAGCACUGCUAUCAGGAAAGCCGGCACGAUCAGUAACGUUGUCAGAUUAUGAAAAUGAUGCUGUUAAGCAUCUUUGUUUACUUACAAUGAAACCUGUGAUAUAUGUGGCAAAUGUGGCUGAAUCUGACCUGGUUGAAACCACCAAUAACCCGUACGUUAAAGAGCUGGUGGAAGUUGCAUCGAAUUUCAAAUCUGAAGUUGUGACUGUCUCAGCACAGGUAGAGGCUGAAUUAACUGAGCUCCAGCCAGAAGAGAGAUCUGAGUUUCUGCAAUCUCUUGGAGUUAGCGAGGGAGGACUAGGAUCUCUAAUAAGGGCAACAUACAAUCUUUUGGGUCUGCGUACCUAUUUCACUUCUGGAGAAAAGGAGACUAAAGCAUGGACAAUACUUGCAGGGAUGACAGCACCACAAGCAGCUGGAGUGAUUCACUCUGAUUUUGAAAAGGGAUUCAUACGUGCAGAGACAGUAUCCUACACUGAUUAUGUUGCUGCUGGCUCAUUGGUAGCUGCGAAAGAGAAAGGAUUAGUGAGAUCUGAAGGCAAGGAUUAUAUUGUACAAGAAGGAGAUGUGGUGCUGUUUCGAUUUAAUGUGUAAUUCCAUUUUUAAAGGAUCUCAAAUCUCUAUCCUUGCUUAAAAGGCAUACACUAUAUGCAACUCUUAUCGCAAGCUCCUACAGUUAUGAAUUGGCAGGGAACAAAAAUGUCUAAUCUGAGCAAGCAUAAAAGCUUGUUCUGAGAAAUCGAGAUUGGAUGUCCAAUCAAAUACUUCCCAAUAGUAUAUUCGAGUAUUGGUUGCAAGAGUCAAUUGAAUUUACUCUUCAAAUGAGGUUGAAAGUAUGCACGGAUCAGAUCAGAUUCCUGAGGACGAUAUCCUUGCAUUCAGGCUUUAUAUUGUAAGGCAUUAUUUCCAAUUCAAGAAUAGAUGAGUAAGACUUGAUAGUUUUAUGUGAGGAGAUGGUGAUUAUUAUUUUUAUAAAUCACGUUGAUUGAUGGAUACUUGAAGAUAUUUUGACCACAUGCUAAAGAGGUUUGUAAUUUUGACAUUAUAUUCUUUGCAACUUGUGGAACACAUGUUUGAGCAAAUUAAUUCAAAUUUCAUCUGAAGGCCA